This 441-nucleotide ribosomal RNA is filed under the name uncultured bacterium. RNAcentral describes it as "partial 16S ribosomal RNA". It matches the Rfam family "Bacterial small subunit ribosomal RNA", at positions 338 to 795 of the family's 1533-position model. The record is from RNAcentral.
CCUACGGGUGGCAGCAGUGGGGAAUAUUGCACAAUGGGGGAAACUCUGAUGCAGCAACGCCGCGUGGGUGAAGGAGCGUUUCGGCGCGUAAAGCUCUGUUAGCGGGGAAGAAGAAAGACGGUACCCGACCAAGAAGCCCCGGCUAACUACGUGCCAGCAGCCGCGGUAAUACGGAGGGGCCGAGCGUUAUCCGGAAUUACUGGGUGUAAAGGGAGCGUAGACGGCGAGGUAAGUCAGAAGUGGAAGCCCGAGGCCCAACCGCGGAACUGCUUUGGAAACUGUUUUGCUGGAGUAUGGGUGCGGUAGGCGGAAUUCCUGGUGUAGCGGUGAAAUGCGUAGAUAUCAGGAGGAACACCGAUGGCGAAGGCAGCUUACUGAACCAUAACUGACGUUGAGGCUCGAAAGCGUGGGGAGCGAACAGGAUUAGAUACCCUGGUAGUC